CUCCAUUGUUAUCUUCGCUCUGGAAUCGCAACAUGAGUCCAGGACCUUUUAGAACACCCUGUGUAGAAAGUCCAAAAUGUUUUGGACGUACAGCCGUGCUAUAUUGGCGGAGCUACUGGAAGGUGAGGCCAGACCGGACUCGAACGCUCGCGGCGGUUGGAUCGGACGGCCAAAUGGGCCACGCGAGCGGGCGGGUAGCCCGAGUUUUGGCCAUUCGGCCACGACAGUCAGCCAAUGUCCUCCGCUCGGCCGCCACGCGCUCCGGGUCCUUCGAGAUGGACCGCUUUCCACUCUUCUGCGUCUUUUUGACAGUUUCCGUUGUCGUAACCGCAGUAGUGACGGAGUCUGAAGAAGACAGUGAAGAGGCAGAGAGCCACUCUUCGUACGAAGCCGAGGACAUUUUAAGUGGUCGUGGAAAGCAUUGCCCCUUGUGCGACUCCUCCGUUUACAGCUACUGUAGUGACAAGCUCCUUCAUGAUGCGUGUUGUUGCUUGAGCCCGUAUGGUAAGUUACAAUGAGUUCAGGAAGAGGAGUUCGACUCUAUAUGGCACACCAAAAUGUCGGUCAAAAUAAAUCACAAAACUAGAAUGAAUUAUUACAUCUUUUAAAAUAUGCUCAGCGUUAAUUAGAAGAAUUAUAUAAUUUAUUCGAACUGAUUUAAGAAGAAUAUAAUUGCCUACUCUUCAGUAGUUCAACACAUAACAUUUUAGUUGCAUCAAUUGUUUUAAAUAAAACAAAAAGAAUAAUAGGAAGGGUUUACAUCAUAAUUGGUCACGGAAUGUGUUCUUCAGGAUUAUUUUGUACAGCAAAUAUCAUUUAUAAGACAUUACAUAUACAUGUAUAUCGUUGGACACAUUUUACAUUCCGUGACAAGAGCUUUUUGAUUCCAUUAGCGUAAAACUGGCGAUUCUGUUUUUGCAACCACUUUGUACAGCUUCUUUCACUUCAUCAUCGUCCGCGGAACUUUUUUUUGCCAAAGCCCUCCUCUAGCUCAGAUAAUAAGUGGUAAAUCACUUGGGGGUGAGAUCCUGAGAAUAAGAAGGAUGGGGGAAAGGUCCCAUUUGAAGGAGGUCAACAACUGAUUGGUGACAUGAGCUGUAUGGGGCCUAGCGUUGUCAUGAAGCAGCAUCACUUGACAAGACAACAGGCCAGGGUAUUUUCUAUUGAAUGCUGAUUUAAGCCUUUUCAUGACAUCUCAGUUUCUGUUUGCAUCAAUAGUUGUGCUUCUUUCUAAGAAAUCAAUGAGUAACACUCAUUGAACACCCCUGAAGACUCGCGUAAAUUUUGGACUCGCGGUGGUGAGAGGCGGGUGAAAGAAAACUAAUGCCACUCAGCACUCAGAAGACCUUUAAAAAACUGAAAUUUUCUAAAAAGCUGAAAGUAUGGCAAUUCAUAAGCUUUUGCAGAUUUAAAUUAUCUUGAUUAGUUUAGAAGAUAUGACAAAGAUUAACUUACUUUACGAAUACUCUUCGUAGUCUUUAAUGAUCAUCAAAAAUUACAUGUUCACAGACACGGAACUUCCAUAUCAGUGCAAAUUCGCUGACUGUGGAUUUUUGCAUGCAAUUCCUGCAAUGAACACCACCUCAUCACUUCCUGUUGCUGCAAUCAAGCUGCUAGCACAUAGAAUCACAUUCUUUGAACAAAGAUGCGAAGACCAUAUACAAUCGAUCUGAAUUCAGUUUGCGUGCAUGAACAAGGGUAACCUCAAAGAAGUCCGUAAUGACGGAAAACAACAUGACAAGUAAGUAUUGUGCAGGGAAUAAUGUAGAGGAGAGCUUCCUUUGUUAAAGGGUAAAUAGUGAGUUCCUCAGACUGAAAGUGCUAUCCAAAAAUUUCCGAUGACCGAUCAUGAACUACGCACCUAGGUUUCUUUCCCUACCAAUCCUCAAAAUAGUACAAAGUAGUAGUAAUUGAAGUCGUACAAUCUGAUGUAGGAUCCUAAUGUUUCUUGUAAGCACGAAGAAGUGUCUAUAAGAAAUUGUAAUAGAUUAAAUGAAUAGAGGGAGGUAUAAAAUGUUUAAGACUACCUCUAAAAGAAAAAGAGAGAGAUAAGUCCUCUGGGCUUGCGAUGUAUAUUUAAUUUAAGGUUCACCAAAGACUUCUUAUCAUAAUGCUAUUUCCUUUACCUACUUAAGUAAAUUUUUCUCGGAAAAAUAAGAAUAGAAUUUCUCGCUUCAUAAGUGAUUUUAAAUAUCAUGAAAGAGAGGUAUUUAUUUCAACUUACCUGGUAUUCUAAUUUCUAACAAGAUUUUCCGGUUUUUGGCUACUCAUCAUGCGAAAACAAAAUACUUUUAGCCGAUUUCACAAAUAAAUGCAAUGAUUGCGCACUGUUUCAUUUUAUUAAAACAUUGCCUGAAUGACAAUCAUUGAAUUCAUUUGUAAAAUGGGCUAAUAGCUCAACUUUUGUUUUAUAAUUUCUAACUUGAUGCAGACACCGAAAAAAUUAGAUUUAAAACACCACACCCAAAUCACCUAAAUAACAAUGUUUUGCACGAACAUACAAUUUCAUUGAGCCACAAAGAAUAAAAUGAAAAAUUCUGAUUCUAAUCACAAUAAUUUCUCACAUGGAAUUACUUUUGUACCGAUAGGCCUCAUAGAGUGCUGCUUUAGGUUUUAUUUUCAUAAUACUGAUUUAAUUUAUUUGUACAUUCAAGAUAUUAUUAUUUGUUUUAAUUUAUUAAAAUGAGUUUUGUUUAAUGUCUAGUUCCUUUUAUUUUUACCAUUAAAGACAUAUAAUUACGAACCAAAUUAUUCAUCGAAAAGUCAUUCAGUAUGUUUAAGAUCACAAACUCGUCGAGAAUUCACCGAAAAUUCGUUCAGAUAGCAUAUUAAUAAGUUUUACAAUCAAUGUAAUCUGAAAUUGUUGACAGAAUUUUCCAAAAUGAGGAAUGAUAAUGAUGAACUAUGAAAUUAACCUCAUAGAAUACACUUUAAGUAUGGAAUAUUCUGCUUUUGACACGGCUGAAACUGAGCCACUGGCUUCCUCCAGAAAUUGUUUGUCUACUUUUCUGAUUUUCAGGAAAAUUUAUGUAAUUUGCGUAUCCCUCAAAAUUUUCCUCCAUUUCCCGAUGUCACCUAUUUCUUUGCUUUUUCUAAGCCGGAAAGAUUUGG
RNAcentral lists this long non-coding RNA (3111 nucleotides) under Bemisia tabaci. Its description in RNAcentral is "lncRNA ENSSSA3NGG005261". The record is from RNAcentral. Lineage: Eukaryota; Metazoa; Arthropoda; Insecta; Hemiptera; Aleyrodidae.